GCAAAGCUGGCGUGCAAAAAGUCUAUUCAAAUGAGCUCAGAAGCAUGCUAUUUAUAGCCAAAUGGAAUGAUAUUUGCACACUUCAAAUUUUGUGCAUUUUUAGCAAUGUGGAUGGCACGAGUGCAUGGUCAUGUACAAACCCAUGAUGCAAUGCAAAAAGGUCCAAAAUGAUCCCAAAUGAAGUCUGAAUGGAAGCUUGAUUGGCAAGGCA
Molecule: long non-coding RNA, 211 nt
Filed under: Lathyrus oleraceus (garden pea)
Lineage: Eukaryota; Viridiplantae; Streptophyta; Magnoliopsida; Fabales; Fabaceae
Description: Pisum sativum (pea) long non-coding RNA (PSAT_LNC027025)
Source: RNAcentral